RNAcentral lists this ribosomal RNA (224 nucleotides) under Klebsiella pneumoniae. RNAcentral's name for it is "partial 23S ribosomal RNA". It matches the Rfam family "Bacterial large subunit ribosomal RNA", at positions 2719 to 2925 of the family's 2925-position model. RNAcentral also lists the same sequence under 1 other name. The record is from RNAcentral. Lineage: Bacteria; Pseudomonadati; Pseudomonadota; Gammaproteobacteria; Enterobacterales; Enterobacteriaceae.
GGUUGUCAUGCCAAUGGCACUGCCCGGUAGCUAAAUGCGGAAGAGAUAAGUGCUGAAAGCAUCUAAGCACGAAACUUGCCCCGAGAUGAGUUCUCCCUGAGACUUUAAGUCUCCUGAAGGAACGUUAAAGACGAUGACGUUGAUAGGCCGGGUGUGUAAGCGCAGCGAUGCGUUGAGCUAACCGGUACUAAUGAACCGUGAGGCUUAACCUUACAACGCCGAAG